GGCUUCGUAGCUGAGCUGGUAAAGAGUGCUUGUACAAUGCGUAGGCGGCGUCCAUGCAUGGGUUCGAAUCCCACCGAGGCUA
Molecule: transfer RNA, 82 nt
Filed under: Echinostoma caproni
Lineage: Eukaryota; Metazoa; Platyhelminthes; Trematoda; Plagiorchiida; Echinostomatidae
Rfam family: tRNA
About the family: Transfer RNA (tRNA) molecules are approximately 80 nucleotides in length. Their secondary structure includes four short double-helical elements and three loops (D, anti-codon, and T loops). Further hydrogen bonds mediate the characteristic L-shaped molecular structure. tRNAs have two regions of fundamental functional importance: the anti-codon, which is responsible for specific mRNA codon recognition, and the 3' end, to which the tRNAs corresponding amino acid is attached (by aminoacyl-tRNA synthetases). tRNAs cope with the degeneracy of the genetic code in two manners: having more than one tRNA (with a specific anti-codon) for a particular amino acid; and 'wobble' base-pairing, i.e. permitting non-standard base-pairing at the 3rd anti-codon position.
Source: Rfam by way of RNAcentral